Bubalus bubalis (water buffalo) is the source of this 2602-nucleotide long non-coding RNA. RefSeq lists it as uncharacterized. The transcript has 2 exons. The record is from RefSeq and is a predicted model, not a curated record. NCBI's taxonomy places the organism in Eukaryota, Metazoa, Chordata, Mammalia, Artiodactyla, Bovidae.
GGUCUGGCGUGCUGCCAUUCAUGGGGUCGCAAAGAGUCAGACAGGACUGAACUGAAUGAGUGGGAGGAUUAUUUCAUCUAUUUGGAGAAGGGGUGGAGAUUUCCAGGAACUGGGCCAUUCCUUGGUCUUUUGACAUGCUUUGAAACUAUUAUGGCGCCUCUGGGUGUGUAUUUAGCUUGCUGACUGAGGAUCAAGGUCUAAUCAAAGUCAACCUGUCUGCCAUCUUGGACCCAUUUGAUUCUAAUUGCUUUAUAUUGUGUCCUUGGGGUAUGUCAUUCUUUCAGAAGUUUUGCCCUGCCCCUUUCCUUCCUGUUACAAGAUAAGCCAACAGCACCUGUCCUGAAGCCUUUGAAAGGGAAAGCAAAGAAAGCUGAGUCUUGAGCCAGGCUUAGUAACCCCACAUGACCUUUCUCCCUCCACCCAAAAUCUAUCUUGGUCAACCCUCUUCCAUUUUAUAAAGUCAAGCCUGAGCAACAAAGUUAAGGAGGUAAAAAAUAAAAAAUUGUAUUAUUGCAAUGUUGAAUUAAAAUGAUCCCACUCAUUGGAACUUCCCUGGUGGUCCAGUGAUUAAAACUUCCAAUACAAGGGGCAUGGGUUUGAUCCAUACUCAAGGAACUAAGAUCCUGAAUGCCAAGGUAUUGCCAAUAGAUAAAUAAUCCCACUCCUUGAGAUGACCUGUUCUUUGAGAUUAUGAUCUGCCCUUUAGCAUGGAUAAUCAAGGACUGACCACAUCUCUUUCUCAGGACACUCUGGUUCCUGAAUCAUCUAUGCAAAUCAAUAAUACCUCCUGGGAUGAAAUCUGUGUCCAACCAACCAAAUCAACCAGAAGACAUCCAGCUUCAGAAACUCUAAGAUCCCAGGCAGGUUGACCACUUAAGUUCUUUCAACUUUAAUUCCAGGGCAGCAGGGGCUGCCAGAGUCCUGGACUGUAGUAACCCACAAACUCAGUCAAAGAAAGUGAACCUGUUAGGAGGGAAAUAAUAACCCAAGAUCACACAGUGAAAUGGGACAUCAAGCCAGGACCUGCAAAUGACACCUCCAGAAAGGCUGCUCCACAAAGUCUUCUAUGAAGCAUCAGCUGCUCCUUAUUUAAGUCUGGGGGAAAAUUUAAUUUGGGAAAAAAAGAAUAGAAACAUAAUUAAAUGAUCUGGCAAGAGAAUAUAAAACCCAGAGGGAACAACUCAUCCCUUUGUGGGUUUUUUUUUUUUUUAGCUGCUUGUGCAUGCACGUGAUUUUUCUUAUUUCUUAUUCCCAAAUGUUCUUUUCUCGUUUCUUUUUUAAAGUCAAAUCUUAAAGCACUGAAGCCCAAACCCUUCAGCACCUGACUUCCUUGGGGCCUGACCUUCCCGUGGUUCUCUCUGCUGGGGGCUGGCCAAACCAUUCAACCCCAUCCUUUUAAUUUUUUAAGCUUUUCUGUUAUGGAAAAUUACAUAUGUAUAUAAAAGUACAAAGCAACUCAAUUCUAAAUGGAAUGACAAAUAAUGCAAAAUGAAAAAGCCUACGCCUAAAGAUGUGUUUUCAUUAGGAAAUCAUUAGCCCAUUUUUCUUCAGCUGCACUGAGGCAGCAUGAACUCAAGACUUGAAGGAAAAUGUCUGUACCCAGUUUUUUCUUCUUCUGAACUUCAUGGCUUUUGGAAAGUCGCUCUGAGGUUUGGUUUCUUUGCUUGCAAAAGGGGAGUGAUCAAGCCAACCUCACAGAAUGGCCGUGACAAUGAAGUGAGAUAAUGUCUGGGAAUAUGUCUUGUAAGUUAUGAAAUGCUCUAAAACUGUGAAGAGCUAUUAUUAAUCUUUCAUAGGACCCUUGGAGCAUCGCCAUGCAAAAGUGCGAUUAAUAUGCUCAGGAAUGUAGACAGAGGUUUGCGGGAGAGAAGCCCACUAUGGCCCCACCUCUGCUCCCACUUGGUCCUAAACUGUUCAUCUUAUGCCACUUUGUUUUUCACCCAUUUGACCUUGUUGCCCUUCUCACUUCAGGGACAAUUUGUCCAUCAACCUUGUCUUCCCAGCUUUCCCAGAUUUCUCUGGUCAACAGUUCUGUUUUUCUAACCAGACUAAACCAACUCAAGAUGCUUUAUUUGGAAUGACCUCUUCAAAGUGGCACCUGUGAUUGUCUUAAUUCCAGCAACAUCUCGACGUGCACCAAGGGAUCAGGACCCAGGCAAGAAGCACUGUGGAUUUAGGAAGGAGGCAGGAAAGGGGAACCCCUCUUGCAGACUCAGCCUCUCUCUUGUAGGUCAAGGAGGAUCCCCACUCUCCUUAGAAGGUGGGUCAAGGACCACCGUGAACAAGAUGAAAUCCAUGACCCCAUGAAGCUGAUAUUCCAGAGAGGGAGCUGACUAUAAAUGAGCAAACAUAUAAAUAAAUAAUAAGCAAAAUAGCAAAGUAAAUAAUAGUUCAAACUGUGAAAGAAAGAAUGCACAGAGAUUAGAGAAAGAGACAGGAUGUGGGGGUGGCUAAUUAAGAUAGAACAGUCAAGGUCACGAGGUGUGAGUGCCCUCCCCAUCCUGCCUUAUCACGAACAAGGAAGCUAAGAACUCCACUUGCUGCUGGCAGCCAUCCCAUACCCUGAAAGGAGCUAGUUACAGGAUGAAGCCAUCACUACAGA